RNAcentral lists this ribosomal RNA (301 nucleotides) under uncultured bacterium. RNAcentral describes it as "partial 16S ribosomal RNA". It matches the Rfam family "Bacterial small subunit ribosomal RNA", at positions 509 to 807 of the family's 1533-position model. The record is from RNAcentral.
CAGUCGCCGCGGUAAUACGGAGGGUGCAAGCGUUAAUCGGAAUUACUGGGCGUAAAGCGCACGCAGGCGGUUUGUUAAGUCAGAUGUGAAAUCCCCGGGCUCAACCUGGGAACUGCAUUUGAAACUGGCAAGCUAGAGUCUCGUAGAGGGGGGUAGAAUUCCAGGUGUAGCGGUGAAAUGCGUAGAGAUCUGGAGGAAUACCGGUGGCGAAGGCGGCCCCCUGGACGAAGACUGACGCUCAGGUGCGAAAGCGUGGGGAGCAAACAGGAUUAGAUACCCCGGUAGUCCCUGUCUCUUAUAC